AUUGCCUUAGUAACGGCGAGUGAAGCGGCAACAGCUCAAAUUUGAAAUCUGGCUUCGGCCCGACUGUAAUUUGUAGAGGAUGCUUUUCGUGUGGUGCCUUCUCAGAGUUCCCUGUAACGGGACGCCUUACUGGGUGAGAGCCCCGAAUCCCCGGACACCAAACCUAGAAAGCUCCUCCGACGAUUCGAGUAGUUUGGGAAUGUUGCUCAGGAUGGGAGGUAAAUGUCUUCAAACCUAAAUAUUGGCGAGAGACCGAUAGCCCACAAGUAGAGUGAUCCAAAGAUGAAAAGACUUUGAAAAGAUGGUUAAAAAGCACGUGAAAUUGUUGAAAGGGAAGCGCUUGAAACCAGACUUGUGGAAGCCUGAUCACGCCAGCCUUCACUGGUGCACUCUCCCCGGCUCACGCCUCCGGCGGUUCUCGCGGGGGAAAGGCUUCAGGAACGUGGCUCCCUCUCGGUGUGUUAUAGCCUGUUGUUUCCUUACCCCUCGGGGGACUGAGGUUCGCGCGUCGCAAGGACGCUUGCGUAAUGGUCAUCACCGUCUUGAAACACGGA
RNAcentral lists this ribosomal RNA (554 nucleotides) under Linocarpon elaeidis. RNAcentral's name for it is "eukaryotic LSU rRNA". It matches the Rfam family "Eukaryotic large subunit ribosomal RNA", at positions 74 to 665 of the family's 3401-position model. The record is from RNAcentral. Lineage: Eukaryota; Fungi; Ascomycota; Sordariomycetes; Chaetosphaeriales; Linocarpaceae.